AAGGUCCUAGCCUAAUUAAGGCAUUUGGGUUGCAUUCAAAAGAUGCAGGGUAAUGUCCUGCGGAUCUUA
RNAcentral lists this transfer RNA (69 nucleotides) under Napothera epilepidota (eyebrowed wren-babbler). RNAcentral describes it as "tRNA-Ala". It matches the Rfam family "tRNA". From Rfam's summary of the family: Transfer RNA (tRNA) molecules are approximately 80 nucleotides in length. Their secondary structure includes four short double-helical elements and three loops (D, anti-codon, and T loops). The record is from RNAcentral. Lineage: Eukaryota; Metazoa; Chordata; Aves; Passeriformes; Timaliidae.